GACGAACGCUGGCGGCGUGCCUAAUACAUGCAAGUCGAACGAACCGCGACUAGGUGCUUGCACUUGGUCAAGGUGAGUGGCGAACGGGUGAGUAACACGUGGGUAACCUACCUCAUAGUGGGGGAUAACAGUCGGAAACGACUGCUAAUACCGCAUAGGACAUGGGAUCACAUGAUUCUGUGAGGAAAGGUGGCGCAAGCUAUCGCUAAGAGAUGGACCCGCGGUGCAUUAGCUAGUUGGUAGGGUAACGGCCUACCAAGGCGAUGAUGCAUAGCCGACCUGAGAGGGUGAUCGGCCACAUUGGGACUGAGACACGGCCCAAACUCCUACGGGAGGCAGCAGUAGGGAAUCUUCCGCAAUGGACGCUAGUCUGACGGAGCAACGCCGCGUGAGUGAAGAAGGUCUUCGGAUCGUAAAGCUCUGUUGUUAGAGAAGAACAGCGCAUAGAGUAACUGUUAUGCGUGUGACGGUAUCUAACCAGAAAGCCACGGCUAACUACGUG
RNAcentral lists this ribosomal RNA (502 nucleotides) under uncultured bacterium. RNAcentral's name for it is "partial 16S ribosomal RNA". It matches the Rfam family "Bacterial small subunit ribosomal RNA", at positions 28 to 507 of the family's 1533-position model. The record is from RNAcentral.